GCGAAUGUAGUUUAAUGGUAAAAUGAAAGCUUCCCAAGCUUUAGUCGUGGGUUCGAUUCCCAUCAUUCGCUCCA
Molecule: transfer RNA, 74 nt
Filed under: Clostridia bacterium
Lineage: Bacteria; Bacillati; Bacillota; Clostridia
Description: tRNA-Gly
Rfam family: tRNA
About the family: Transfer RNA (tRNA) molecules are approximately 80 nucleotides in length. Their secondary structure includes four short double-helical elements and three loops (D, anti-codon, and T loops). Further hydrogen bonds mediate the characteristic L-shaped molecular structure. tRNAs have two regions of fundamental functional importance: the anti-codon, which is responsible for specific mRNA codon recognition, and the 3' end, to which the tRNAs corresponding amino acid is attached (by aminoacyl-tRNA synthetases). tRNAs cope with the degeneracy of the genetic code in two manners: having more than one tRNA (with a specific anti-codon) for a particular amino acid; and 'wobble' base-pairing, i.e. permitting non-standard base-pairing at the 3rd anti-codon position.
Source: RNAcentral